This 280-nucleotide long non-coding RNA is filed under the name Paramuricea clavata. The record is from RNAcentral. Lineage: Eukaryota; Metazoa; Cnidaria; Anthozoa; Malacalcyonacea; Plexauridae.
CCUGCUUUCAGAAAUUUUAAUUCCUUUAGUUUAGCCUAACCCCAUGCAUCCUAUACACACGGCGCACACUCUCGCACUCCAUACAUUUAGCUAAUAAAUUACGUUAUAAACAAAAAAGCAAAAUAAAAAGAUAAAUUACGUUAUCACUAGCUAUCCUAUAUCCCACUUAGACUGAGUUUUGGAUUCAGGUUCGAAACGUAAAACCUUAACUGGGCAUGGGCUUUUUGAAUAUAAGUAAAUAUAAACCGUAAACUUACCUAAACCAAAGGCUCGGUUAAAU